This 896-nucleotide ribosomal RNA is filed under the name Lacticaseibacillus rhamnosus. RNAcentral's name for it is "bacterial SSU rRNA". It matches the Rfam family "Bacterial small subunit ribosomal RNA", at positions 28 to 888 of the family's 1533-position model. Lineage: Bacteria; Bacillati; Bacillota; Bacilli; Lactobacillales; Lactobacillaceae. The record is from RNAcentral.
GRUSAACGCUSGCGGCGUGCCUAAUACAUGCAAGUCGAACGAGUUCUGAUUAUUGAAAGGUGCUUGCAUCUUGAUUUAAUUUUGAACGAGUGGCGGACGGGUGAGUAACACGUGGGUAACCUGCCCUUAAGUGGGGGAUAACAUUUGGAAACAGAUGCUAAUACCGCAUAAAUCCAAGAACCGCAUGGUUCUUGGCUGAAAGAUGGCGUAAGCUAUCGCUUUUGGAUGGACCCGCGGCGUAUUAGCUAGUUGGUGAGGUAACGGCUCACCAAGGCAAUGAUACGUAGCCGAACUGAGAGGUUGAUCGGCCACAUUGGGACUGAGACACGGCCCAAACUCUACGGGAGGCAGCAGUAGGGAAUCUUCCACAAUGGACGCAAGUCUGAUGGAGCAACGCCGCGUGAGUNAAGAAGGCUUUCGGGUCGUAAAACUCUGUUGUUGGAGAAGAAUGGUCGGCAGAGUAACUGUUGUCGGCGUGACGGUAUCCAACCAGAAAGCCACGGCUAACUACGUGCCAGCAGCCGCGGUAAUACGUAGGUGGCAAGCGUUAUCCGGAUUUAUUGGGCGUAAAGCGAGCGCAGGCGGUUUUUUAAGUCUGAUGUGAAAGCCCUCGGCUUAACCGAGGAAGUGCAUCGGAAACUGGGAAACUUGAGUNCAGAAGAGGACAGUGGAACUCCAUGUGUAGCGGUGAAAUGCGUAGAUAUAUGGAAGAACACCAGUGGCGAAGGCGGCUGUCUGGUCUGUAACUGACGCUGAGGCUCGAAAGCAUGGGUAGCGAACAGGAUUAGAUACCCUGGUAGUCCAUGCCGUAAACGAUGAAUGCUAGGUGUUGGAGGGUUUCCGCCCUUCAGUGCCGCAGCUAACGCAUUAAGCAUUCCGCCUGGGGAGUACGACCG